RNAcentral lists this ribosomal RNA (5584 nucleotides) under Triticum aestivum (bread wheat). RNAcentral describes it as "partial small subunit ribosomal RNA". Lineage: Eukaryota; Viridiplantae; Streptophyta; Magnoliopsida; Poales; Poaceae. The record is from RNAcentral.
UACAGCCCAUGUAUAUUUAUUAUAUUUGUCUUACACUACGGUAUUCUAAUAAUGUUUCAGUACUUAGUGUGUUUUCUACGAGCGAUUGACGUAAUCGUUACGUAUUAAACGUCUUUUGUGUAUGCGGUUCCCUACAAAGUAUAUUGUUUCGGCGGCAAGCUCUAAGUAUAUUGUUUCGUCACGUAGACGUCUCAAAUGUACGUAUUGAACGUCUCGAAGUAACGUAUAUGUGGUCAGUGGUCUGGUCUGGUAUACAGUGUGACUGAUUGUAGUAGCAGGAGGGCUCUCCGGGCUCUAGCACGGCUACGAGCACGAGAGCUCGACGCCCAUACCGUACCUAGGACGAAACGGAACGUAGGUUCCGCCGUACGACUUCGGGUUUACACAACCACGGUUGAGGCCGUCACCGUGCAGUAAUAGUUCCAUGACCUCGUGGAAAGCGUACGACCCGGAACUUCGUCCCUUUCCUACGUUCGUAUCCUCUGGAUCAAAAUUGUGUUCUGUCUGGAGUAGAAACUGACACGGCGUCAGCGGAACAUUGGAGAACAGGCGGCAGAGGUACUCGCUGGGUAACACGGUUACAACUUCUUGGGUCAACUGGUCGUACUCGGCCAACGGAACGCGCAGAACGAACUACCCGGAAACGCGCGUUUGUUGAAGCUCUUCCUUACGCGGCUUCCGUUUCUGCAGACAUUCUCCCCUGCGACAUGGUCAAACACAGUCGAGUCCACGAUCCAUGGGGUGGCAAGGUUGGUGUACACAACAGACGCCCAAGCAUGGCACCAGUAUAUUAGAACGCUCUGGCUUCAGCGGAUCGGCACGUAAGUAGAGUGACAGGUCCUCGUGUAACGAGCGGAACUACAGGGCUACCUGCUGUUGAAAGAGGGUGAAGAGCACGUUCAUCUCGUUCGGUGUACGUUGUGGAAACUACUAGCGUAGACCAGGGUCGGGUUUCACCCAGCGAACGGGAGAAGUAGUGUCAUGUCUAUGGAUAGUUCCGACGAUAAACCGUACAUCAGUAUGUGGUUGUCCUCAAGUACCAAAGAAGCUGUUAUCGGCUCAUCGACGUGCUCCAAUGCCACGGCUUCCGCCGGUUACGAAUGUUGAAGCCUCUGCUUGAGGAAGUACGGGACGGAGUCAAGUACCCUGUUGAAGAAAUGCCGUUGUAGAUCAAACCUACAGCCCUCUUGAGGAAACAUGUGGAAGGGCUUGGGAGGACAUGGUUCGUCCACGAACAAGAACUUGGGGAGACAACGUUCCUUGUCUAGAAAUAUCCUCUUGGCUACACCAGGCUUGAGCCGAAGGGUUAGGAGCGCGUCGAGCCACAUGGAAUCAGCGGAGGCAUACUAGUCUUGCUACCGUCAAGGGUAUCGUUCGUGGUCACGACGUCAUCGAUAACCUUCCUGCUAGAAGUUCUGAGACCUGACCCAUAAGAAGUCUUGUUCAACUCCAUCGAAACCGUUAGACCGCCACAGUUACUGGCCUCGCCCCGGUAGGUACGACUCUGAGGUGGGUUCGUGCUACAUAACACACGACUAGCCCGGUCAGCUUCUGCUCUUUGGUUGUAUUCGACCUAGGUGUUCAUGAACACUAUCUAGUAUCCACCGGCUCUGGUUACCAAACCGACCAAACUGGUGAUGAGAGUCACCUCGUUACCAGUGUGAUUAGACACACCGGGGAAGUAGUAUCAGGUGGGUAUGGACGUAUCGAAGUGGCGAUAAAUCCGAGUUCAACGACUUCUACGGGUAUAGUAGUAUCUUCGGUCGUCCCGCGCUAACGUGCCUCGCCUGUGACAACUACAGCUAUGGCUGAACUAACAGCAACUACAGGAAGUCGAGUCACAAAACCUUCCACAGCUAGAGCUGACGUUUAUAUACCAACGACCUCAAUGGUAACAAGAACAGUAACUCCUCCGGGUCCUUGACCAAACGUUCGUGUAACCUCUUUACCAAGGAGCCCCUCUACUUCUUCCGGUAAGGCAGUUGUGAACAGAGUACUAUCUGUCUCGACUACGGCUUGUGCUUUCUGCGUCUCUUCCUAGCGUGAGAUGGUAACCUGCUGAACGCCUUUGCGUCCCCCCAACCCACCUUAAGUACCGGCAUCUCCAAUUGGCACGGCAACCAGUGGAACUCCUCAGGCAGACGACACUGGUGCCGCCGCGGCAGGUCCUACUCCAAACAGGGUCACUUCGGCCUCAUCUGUUUAACUAGAAGCUGAGGGGACGAUGUAUCCCCACGUUCCGGGUUCGAUUCCUUCUCCUCCCGUACAUCUUCCUUACUGUGUGGAAAGUAGAGACCGAACAGGCGUCGUUUUAGUCGUCUCCUCUACGUUCUUUUCCACGAGCCAUCUGGAGGUUCGCCACCUAUUUAAACCGAAGUUUAAUCACCGAUUGACCGUCGCAUAAUAGAUGAGCGGUAGAUCCCACUCCAAACACCUAUACGGACGGCUUCUGAACAGUUGCUGAAGAAGACUUCAUCGUCCAGUGUAAGUCACACAGUAAGGUUUAUUGAAGAUCAAACUUGUCAGUUCAAGGGAGGUUGAGUCCAUUACCGAUGACCCGUAUUUAGAAGACCAGGGCCAUCUGUUCAUAGAAGUAUUAUGGUUCCCGGUGUAUUAAAGCAGAUUUUAAUAAAAGGUAUGUAGUCGGUAAUACGACGAAAACGUUGCAGGCCCGUAACAACGAGGCACGUAGUGGUAGAUUAAACUGACUGCGAGUAAGACCCAGUUCUCUAACCUGUUAACCCACGUGUUAACUUCUCCCGCACGGGCAGUACAUCCGCGGGUAGUUGUUUACAGCAAAGACAACAGUGAUAGCAACUUACCGUGAGUACGGAUCUGAUUCUAUUGUACGAACACCCUUCUAUCCUGACCGUACUGAACGUCCCGCAAACAUUGUCCGACGGAUUAUUGAGGUAACGUUUGAUCCUCGAAGGGUCAUGUAGAAGCGACGCGCGACGAGUAGCUAUUGGUGGCGGAAAGGUGGUACUUCGGAGACGGGACCGAGCAUGACGAGGAGAAGGAACCGGAAUUGGUUGUUUAUCAACAAUGACCAUGACCACUGGUCAAGUAGAUGAGACCGAAGUGGCUGUGGUUAGACCAAGAGCUGCCACGCCGGUACCAGUGCCGUGUACCGCACGACCUGGAUUGGUUACCGAGACAGUCCGAGUUUCCGGUGCGCUAGGUGGGUCGAGGUAAUGCGAAGGUGUUCAAGAGGAGGUUAUCGUCGUGAGACGUUAGGAAGAGGCAAAGGAAACACAAACCGUAGUAGAGGGGUGUGGGUUCGUUACCGAAGUGGAAGAAGUAGAGUGGUUCGUUCUUGAAGAGUCCGCGGGAGGGCUGCGUCAUGUACCCGGAGGAAUCGCUGGUCUUGUUGCCGUACCGUUGCUUAGUGUAGAAACGCUAACUCGAGCUGUGUUAGGUUUUGUCACUCAAGGUCCUGUACUUGCUGUUGGUGCAGCCGCAGCUGUAGUUGUCAGAAGUGAGACAAGUCAGUCUGAGGCGACCGAAGAUACUACUAUUCGUACCAUGCAAAUUGUUGAACUGGGAACAAUCACCACUAGGAUACGUUCAAACCCACCUGAUGCUGGUUCUCCGGUGUGUCUAGUUACACUGGUACCGGGGCGAUUUGGAACGGUUUGGUCGGUCCCAGGAUUAUAGCUGGUUCGUGCUGGAUAGUUGUCAGGAGUGUCUUAGUCGUAUACGACCUAAGAGCAGUCGUCGUCCGUUCCGGUUGCGCUCUGUAAUACAAGAGCCCACCUCGAAACGGCACCUAUCAGGCCGGGGUCGUUAACUAUAGCGGUCCGACGGGUUCUACGGAGCAGAACCACCGAGGUUUCUGGACAGGUUCAAAGAUCUCUAUUAAGACGGUUAUCGUCGCCGCCGUCGUCCUCGCGAUUAGGAGCACCAAAAAGACGAGCAUUCUUCCGUAGACUCCAUACGUCUCGACUCUCUUCUAACCCUCCACCUCAAACCCGGUGUAGCGAAGAGUAUGUUUCUAAAUAAAGAACGGUGGGUUCCUAAGUUCCUGUUCAUGGACAAUCCUUCACCUCCUAAACCUUCCCAUAUGUUUCCUAACGAAGGCCACAGACGUUGCCUUUAUCGGCACUUCUCUCACACCGUACUAAGCUUAGUUCCCUACUUCCUUAAGUAUUGUCUUCAACAAUCGUAACCGGCGGAGGUUGUGGCGUUAGAACACGGGAAUUGUCCGAUGACGGCCGCUUUGUCACUUGAGGAAGAUCACAUACUUAAGUACAAUUUACCUUCGGAACUGUCCAUGAACAAGUCACUUCUCCCGUUCGGGUGGAACUCGACCCGAGUUUCCAAACCCUAUUAGUUUCUAUAGCGUAGUCGGAAUACGAUGGAGGUACUCCUCACGCUUUUCCAACAGUAGGUAGCUCUGUAGUUUCGUUCGUUGCACGAGGAGCUGCUACUCUACUUACCCGCUAAUCCACUGAAACCUGACCGUUCUGACAUACUAGUACCACAGCUGGGUGUCUGCUGAGUGGACCAACCGUGGUAUCCCAUGAAUCGGGGUCUCGAUCGUUCGUGUCCCUUCCGUUCGGGAGAGUGGCUACAUAAAAGAAAGCCGCACAAGAAAGAGCUCCAGUGUACACCCGUUUCCGGAUAAUCCGGUUUGCUUCUUCUCUUGGUCUAGUACAACCAGCUGACCCACGAGGUCGUAACCGUUUUUCCUAGUGGAUCACUAUGUCAUCUACCGUCCGACGUACCGUUGAUACACCUAGUUCUCCGUACAAACCACGACUUUAAUCCUAACUAUACGAGAGUGGGCAGGUACCUGCGUUCCGGGUCGUACGCAGUUCAAUACGUUAUAGAAUUACCACUGUACGGUGAGGGCCUCGAUUACUAUGGUCGAGUGUACUCGAAGGUCUGAGACCGGAACUACGUCUUGCUUCCCAAGCUAGGGAUACAGUCCAGGAGCAUAGGAAGUAGCUACCAAUCGAUACCCAGUCAUGAAAGGAAGAGUCCUCUUUCUACUAUACGUGUAUGACAGAUAACAGAAAAAGUAUAGUCGCGAAUAAAUUAAAACCAAACUGUACAUAUAACCCAUAGGACUAUAUACUAAUCCCUCACCUGACUAGUCUGACACUCACGUUACGUAAUUCUUAGACUUAUUACUUAUACCUUCAACUAGAAAUAAAAGGUGUCCCGGUCGGGUGAAUGGGCAGUACCAAUAAAGGGAGAUCUCUUACUCUAUCUUGAUCCAGGCGUUGGACCGGCCCCAGACGUAACAGUGAACUAUACGUGUGUUUCCUGACACCCCAAGUACUUGUUUAUUUGCUGGUCCCGUACGAAUACACGGGUGUUACAACAUCUUUUUAUUCGUAAGUGAGAGAGGAUAAUCAUAUUUGUUACAUUCUGUUUUCUACGAUGAUAAGAGACUUCUUCCCCCUCAAGAAAGUGUUCCAAAGAGGUAGGUAAUAUAGAGUCUAACUGAUGAUGUUAGUAGACAUACUGACUUGGUUUUAAAUAGUGUCAUUAUACCGCUCUCUAUUAUACAUUCAGAGAUUAAUCUAAAAAGAAGUAGGUGGACAUAAAAGUUCUAAUAAUCAUUACUAUAAUCCGG